Molecule: transfer RNA, 73 nt
Filed under: Taeniura lymma (bluespotted ribbontail ray)
Lineage: Eukaryota; Metazoa; Chordata; Chondrichthyes; Myliobatiformes; Dasyatidae
Description: tRNA-Thr
Rfam family: tRNA
About the family: Transfer RNA (tRNA) molecules are approximately 80 nucleotides in length. Their secondary structure includes four short double-helical elements and three loops (D, anti-codon, and T loops).
Source: RNAcentral
GCCCUAGUAGCCUAAUACCCAAGGCAUCGGUCUUGUAAACCGAAGAUUAGAGAUGAAAACCCUCUCUAGAGCA